GGAGGGUGCAAGCGUUGUUCGGAAUUAUUGGGCGUAAAGAGCGUGUAGGCGGUCCGGUAAGUCAGAUGUGAAAGCCCUGGGCUCAACCCAGGAAGUGCAUUUGAAACUACCAGACUUGAGUACGGGAGAGGAGGGGGGAAUUCCCGGUGUAGAGGUGAAAUUCGUAGAUAUCGGGAGGAAUACCAGUGGCGAAGGCGCCCCUCUGGACCGGUACUGACGCUGAGACGCGAAAGCGUGGGGAGCAAACAGGAUUAGAUACCCUGGUAGUCCACGCCGUAAACGAUGAGCACUAGGUGUAGCGGGUAUUGACCCCCUGCUGUGCCGUAGCUAACGCAUUAAGUGCUCCGCCUGGGGACUACGGUCGCAAGACUA
RNAcentral lists this ribosomal RNA (372 nucleotides) under uncultured organism. RNAcentral describes it as "partial 16S ribosomal RNA". It matches the Rfam family "Bacterial small subunit ribosomal RNA", at positions 527 to 896 of the family's 1533-position model. The record is from RNAcentral.